AAUUACUUCUUUUCUGUUUUUAGAUUUCACAUCAAAAUCCAUUUUCAAAGGAGCUGCAGUGAAUAUUUUUAGGUCUCAAAGUUCUAUUUGAAUAAUUUGUGUGAUCCAUGCAUUUUAUUUGAAUUAGAUAUCUAAUUGACAUGAACUAAUGGGAAGAUGACAAAGGAGAAUCUUGUGUUCCUGUAUUGACAAUAUGAGCAAAGAAUGCAGCCAUAGAGGGUGAAGUAAUAAAUAUUUUAUUAUGACGCAAAAAUGUAUAUAAUUUUUUAAGCUGCGGAAAAAAU
RNAcentral lists this long non-coding RNA (284 nucleotides) under Amborella trichopoda. Its description in RNAcentral is "long non-coding RNA (ATRI_LNC004375)". The record is from RNAcentral. Lineage: Eukaryota; Viridiplantae; Streptophyta; Magnoliopsida; Amborellales; Amborellaceae.